RNAcentral lists this ribosomal RNA (460 nucleotides) under uncultured bacterium. RNAcentral's name for it is "partial 16S ribosomal RNA". It matches the Rfam family "Bacterial small subunit ribosomal RNA", at positions 338 to 795 of the family's 1533-position model. The record is from RNAcentral.
CCUACGGGUGGCAGCAGUGAGGAAUAUUGGUCAAUGGACGGAAGUCUGAACCAGCCAUGCCGCGUGCAGGAAGACGGCUCUAUGAGUUGUAAACUGCUUUUGUACAAGGGUAAACCUGAAUACGUGUAUUCAGCUGAAAGUACUGUACGAAUAAGGAUCGGCUAACUCCGUGCCAGCAGCCGCGGUAAUACGGAGGAUCCAAGCGUUAUCCGGAUUUAUUGGGUUUAAAGGGUGCGUAGGCGGAUUGAUAAGUUAGAGGUGAAAUGUCCGAGCUUAACUCGGGAACUGCCUCUAAUACUGUUGAUCUAGAGAGUAGAUGCGGUAGGCGGAAUGUAUGGUGUAGCGGGGAAAUGCUUAGAGAUCAUACAGAACACCGAUUGCGAAGGCAGCUUACCAAUCUAUAUCUGACGUUGAGGCACGAAAGCGUGGGGAGCAAACAGGAUGAGAUACCCGGGUAGUC